GACCUUACCGGGGAGUUAGCUAAGCUGCCGGGGAGAGAGCUGAGGUUAGGGGAGAGCUAGCUAACUUACUGACCUUACCGGGGAGUUAGCUAAGCUGCCGGGGAGAGAGCUGAGGUUAGGGGAGAGCUAGCUAACUUUAGCAGUGGGCUAGCUAACAUGCUAACAUACAAUAGCGGCGAGCUAGCUACCUGGAAGGUCUAAAUCAGGGGUCUCAAAGUACCGGCCCGCGACGCGGUUUCAUACGGCCCCUCACGGGUUAACAAAAUAAACAUACAUCUGGCCCGCAAUCCAAUUUAAUUAUUUAUGCUUUAUUAUGUUCGUUUUCAUAUUUUAUCUUAACUUGUAUUUUGGUGUGUGUGUGUGGUUUUUGUUUUUUUGCUUACGCUGCGUUGCCUGCUUUAAUAGUCUCCAGUAGCCUUCAACAGUCUAACCUUGCAGCCGUGGUGUGUCCACUAAACUCCGUAGUUAUAAACAUCCUGAGGUUAGCAGCGCGCUAACUGACCUGUUUAUAAUGUAAUCCCAGCAGUAACUCCGUGACGCUGCUCUAAACUGCUGCUGUUAGCUGCUUGGGCUGAAAGAUGAACUGUAGAGAGCUGUAUUAUCCGGUUAGUGGGGUUAUUUUAUUUCAUACACAGAAGAACUUAAAAAUUUUAAAAACGCUCCAGACUGGCUCAGCUGAGUCCUGUAGCCCGUGGCUGGGCUGCAGCUCUGAUUCAGUAAAGACUGCGGGCUUGUGGUGCUGCUGCUGCAGCUCCGACUAGUGGUUGGAUGAGGAACUGCUAAA
Long non-coding RNA from Astyanax mexicanus (Mexican tetra), 784 nucleotides. RefSeq lists it as uncharacterized. Lineage: Eukaryota; Metazoa; Chordata; Actinopteri; Characiformes; Acestrorhamphidae. The transcript is spliced from 2 exons. The record is from RefSeq and is a predicted model, not a curated record.